UACCUGUCGUACGUGAUGUAUGUUAAGCCGUAAUGUACGUUAACCUUCCUCUAUAUUUUGAAUAUAAAAGAUAUAUUGUAAUUCUUUCUUGAGUAACUGUGGAUUCCGUCGAUCAUUUGGUACGCUGUUAUUUUUGUUGAUAAUAUUAUUGACUUCACAUAAGCUUAGUCAAAAUUACGUAAUUUAUGAGUAAGAUAUCAAUUUUGUUUUUGAGUCUUUCGAAUUCACUAGACGAAAAGUACAAAAUUGUAGUGAAUUGGUGAUCAACCCCACCAUGAUCAGUGGCGAAGCUUGAGAUUUCUAAACGGAGGGGCGGAAGUCACCGGACCUAAAAAUUUCCAUAAAAUUGGGGGUCGAAAACGUAUAUACCCAAAAGUUUCUAUACGAAAACUACAUACUCUCCACUACUGAGCGAAAAGUUCAGGGGUUGGCCGCCCCCUCCCGCCCCUUAAAAGCUUCGCCCAUGACCAUGAUUGAAUGCAAUUUUAAGAUUCUUCGGAUAAGCUAAUAUCAUGUCAUGUGUGCCUUGGUACAUCGGAGGUAAUAGAAACCAUCGUCAAACAUUACUCUGUAACGAUGAUUAAUAACUUGUGUACCGAAUAUUGCACUAUUUAUUCGUUUUGAUGAUUAGUGGUUGCUAUAUCAAAUCUAUUUUACAUGCGUACCAAAUAUUGCGCUAUUUAUUCGCUUUGAUGUUUAGUGAUUGCUGUAUCAAAUACUAUUUUACCUGUACACAACCGAUAAAUUGGUUAGUCACUGGUUGGGAUAAUUUAAGGUUUUGAAUUAAAUUAUCCUUAAAUGCAUUGAUGAUUUUUUCAUACAUUUGUGUACACUCAAAAGAAGAAUGCAGGUUCAAAAUAACUAAUAUUUUGGAUGAUGAAUUGUGAAGGGAAGAACCAUAGUGUCUCGCAUGACGAAGAUUGAAGAUAGCCUUCGUCGAAAUAGGUGUGUACAUGAUCAUACAUCGACUGUCUUUACUGAUCAUUGAUAUCUCAAUUUAACAAAUUAAACCCGUAAAAAAACAGGAACAAUUCAUUUGAGUUAAAAGGUCAAAGACACAGAGGGAUUCUCCGAUCAUGCGGUGACGUGGCACAGCGUACUACACUGAGGAACGUAUCCUCGUCACAAGGAAUACUGAGUCUAGAAUCAGUACUGAAGUCAUACUCUUCUCGAGCUUGAUCUAAUAACGCACUGAACAAAGGGUGUUUUAGUAGUUUCACACUGAUCACAAACCUCCGCUGGUUUUUGCCUACGUAAACCACCAUAUGACCCUUCGGAACAUCUCGUGGAAUCGAAGUUUCGUCUUCUUCAUUCAUCGAUAACGGCCAUCUGAACACCCAUUGGCAGCACUUGUCACAGCUUUCGGAUGACGGUAUGAUUCCGCCAUUGUUCAUCUUUUUCCACUUUUUAAUCCAUGAUUUUAGAACCUUAUCGCUCUGCAUCGUUAAACGUAUAUGCGCCUGCGUAUAUAUCGGUGUAUAUAUUUUUGUGUGUGUAAUAAAGAGAGAUAUUGUGUUGUU
Molecule: long non-coding RNA, 1520 nt
Organism: Helianthus annuus (common sunflower)
Lineage: Eukaryota; Viridiplantae; Streptophyta; Magnoliopsida; Asterales; Asteraceae
Exons: 3
Source: RefSeq, a predicted model, not a curated record